ACUCCUACGGGAGGCAGCAGUGGGGAAUAUUGCACAAUGGGCGCAAGCCUGAUGCAGCCAUGCCGCGUGUGUGAAGAAGGCCUUCGGGUUGUAAAGCACUUUCAGUCGUGAGGAAGGUAGUGUAGUUAAUAGCUGCAUUAUUUGACGUUAGCGACAGAAGAAGCACCGGCUAACUCCGUGCCAGCAGCCGCGGUAAUACGGAGGGUGCGAGCGUUAAUCGGAAUUACUGGGCGUAAAGCGCAUGCAGGUGGUUUGUUAAGUCAGAUGUGAAAGCCCGGGGCUCAACCUCGGAAUAGCAUUUGAAACUGGCAGACUAGAGUACUGUAGAGGGGGGUAGAAUUUCAGGUGUAGCGGUGAAAUGCGUAGAGAUCUGAAGGAAUACCGGUGGCGAAGGCGGCCCCCUGGACAGAUACUGACACUCAGAUGUGAAAGCGUGGGGAGCAAACAGGAUUAGAUACCCUGGUAGGAUAGCG
Molecule: ribosomal RNA, 473 nt
Filed under: uncultured bacterium
Lineage: Bacteria
Description: bacterial SSU rRNA
Rfam family: Bacterial small subunit ribosomal RNA
Source: RNAcentral